UACGGAGGAUGCGAGCGUUAUCCGGAUUUAUUGGGUUUAAAGGGUGCGUAGGCGGCUUUUUAAGUCAGCGGUGAAAUUUUGCAGCUUAACUGUAACAGUGCCGUUGAUACUGGGGAGCUAGGAUUUGGUUGCUGUGGGUGGAAUGUGUGGUGUAGCGGUGAGAUGCUUAGAGAUCACACAGAAUAUCGAUUGCGAAGGCAGCUCACAAAGCCAAGAUUGACGCUGAGGCACGAAAGUGUGGGGAUCAAACAGGA
This 254-nucleotide ribosomal RNA is filed under the name uncultured prokaryote. RNAcentral describes it as "partial 16S ribosomal RNA". It matches the Rfam family "Bacterial small subunit ribosomal RNA", at positions 524 to 777 of the family's 1533-position model. The record is from RNAcentral.